Erinaceus europaeus (western European hedgehog) is the source of this 1146-nucleotide long non-coding RNA. RefSeq lists it as uncharacterized. Lineage: Eukaryota; Metazoa; Chordata; Mammalia; Eulipotyphla; Erinaceidae. The record is from RefSeq and is a predicted model, not a curated record. The transcript has 3 exons.
GAGAGAUAAGAGGGUGAGAAAGAGAGGUACCUGCAGGCAGACCUACCUCAACUAUUGUGAAGUUACCUUUUGCAGGUGGGGACUGGGGGCUAGAACCCAGGGCUUUGUGCCUGGUCACAUAUGCACUCAGCCAGGCACAUCAUGGCCCAGCUCAUAAAAUUUCUUCAAAUAUGAUUCAUCUCCCUUUCUCUCUUUCUUCUUCUUGUAUCCAUAUGGCAUGAAUAUUGUUCUGACUGAUGCUGCCCCACAACCGUCUUACAUUCAUUUAGUAAUUUUUUUCUUUGCUGUUUUUUUUCUUUUUGGGGGGGGGCUUUGCUUCUUUUACCUUAUCUUCCUGCUUUCUACUUUGAUCUUUGGCAUCUGUCUUCUUGCAGGUGUUCGCCUUAGUUCUGACAUUGCACUCUUUAUUCUGUCUGAUCACCACUGUACAUUUAUCCAUCAAUUUCCUCAUCAUUUGUCUGAAUUUGUUGUAUUCUUCCUCUGUAAUUCUUCUCAAUUCAGUGAACACCUGUAGGCCAUCUCUGAGGCCUUCCUCAGGAGCUUUAUAUACCUGUUGAAUUUCUUCAAGCUGUGGUCCUGGUUCAACACUGCAGGAGUCGGGCGGUAGCAGCCGGUUAAGCGCACGUGGUACAAAGCAAGGACCAGCAUAAGGAUCCCAGUUCGAGCCCUGGCUCCCUACCUGCAAGGGAAUCGCUUCACAGAGCUGUGAUGAACUCUGAUUGCUGCAAAAUGACAUUGCCAGAGUGGGCUCAAAACAUUUCAAGUGGCCUUGUUCUUGGAUGGGAGACACUAAUUGGGAAUGGUGGCUUUCAUUCCGUGGGGCAAGCACUGCUGCGCACAUCUUCCCGCUCUGUGCUGCCCUGGCCCGUUCUCAGCCUACCCUCCGUCCAUACACCAAGAUGAUACUGGUAGUGUUCCUGAGAUCAUCUGUGUAUCCUAUCAGUCCUCUCCGGAGAACCUGUUCUUUCACUCCUUGCCCCUCUCCAUGCAUCUCCUCCUCCCUCCACUCAUCUUUCUCCCACUUCCUUACACACCAAGCAAGCUCUUGUUUCUUGGUGGUGUCUUUACUAUUUUUCUCUCCCAGGGCUGUUCUUUCUGCAGAUGCCCACAUCAGUGGUACUUCUGCAUCCUUAAAUCAUCUACUCA